CUGUCUUUACGACAGGCCGUAUUCCACGCCUCCAACAUGGCGUCCCCCAUUUAAGAAGCGGCAGUAGUUUCUACUCAGGUGGCCAGGGGCAGUGCUGAGCUUGGGCUGUUGUGUGUGUAGCCUGAAGUGCUGAAAGCUGUAGUUAAAGUUCGUUUCUAGUCACGGUUCCAGGAACUCUCCCUUCUUUCAGGGUCCGGAGUUGCCGGUUCCUUCUAGUUCCUGCAAGUUCUUCCUCUGCCCCUGGUUUGUUCCCUGCGCCACCUCCGGACACCCCCCAAAUCCCUGACACUCCCAGACUCAAAUUAUGAGCCUUCGGCGGCUGCUGUUGCGCUUACCCCGUUAUCUCGGGGUCUCGGGUUCCCCGCGACGCCUGUGGUGGUCCCCGUUCCUCGAUACCAUCUCUUCGGUGGGCUCCUGGCGUGGUCAGUCCUCCAGGUCCCCGGCCCACUGGAACCAAGUAGUGUCAGAGGCGGAGAAGAUCGUGGGCUAUCCCACGUCCUUCAUGAGCCUCCGCUGCCUGCUCAGCGACGAACUCAGCAACAUCGCUAUGCAGGUGCGGAAGUUGGUGGGGACUCAACACCCUCUGCUUACCACGGCCAGGGGGCUUGUACAUGAGAGCCGGCAUAACCUCCAGUUGAGGGGCUUGGUGGUGUUACUUAUUUCUAAAGCAGCUGGGCCCAGCAGCAUGAAUGCAUCAUGUCAGAACUAUGAUAUGGUCAGUGGGAUCUAUUCAUGUCAAAGAAGUUUGGCAGAGAUCACAGAACUUAUCCACACUGCUCUCCUCGUACAUCGUGGGAUAGUAAAUUUAAGUGAAUUGCAAUCCUCUGAUGGACCACUGAAAGACAUGCAAUUUGGAAAUAAAAUAGCUAUCCUGAGUGGAGACUUUCUUCUAGCAAAUGCCUGCAACGGACUAGCUCUGCUACAGAACACCAAGGUUGUGGAACUUUUAGCAAGUGCUCUUAUGGACUUGGUGCAGGGAGUAUACCAUGAAAAUUCUACUUCAGCAAAGGAAAAUCAUAUCACAGAAGAUAUUGGAAUAUCAACUUGGAAGGAACAGACUUUUCUCUCCCAUGGUGCCUUAUUAGCAAAGAGCUGCCAGGCUGCAAUGGAAUUAGCAAAGCAUGAUGCUGACGUUCAGGAUAUGGCAUUUCAGUAUGGGAAGCACAUGGCCAUGAGUCAUAAGAUAAAUUCUGACCUCCAGCCUUUUAUUAAGGAAAAGACCAGUGACUCCAUAACUUUUAAUCUCAACUCAGCCCCUGUGGUCUUACAUCAGGAGUUUCUUGGAAGAGACUUGUGGAUUAAGCAGAUCAGAGAGGCUCAAGAGAAGGGAAGAUUAGACUAUGCUAAGGGCAAUAAUCGGACCGGAGGGAUGGAAAUAUGAAUGCAAUGGCCAAGCCUCCAAGGAACAGCAAAAUUACAUUAGGCGCAUUCUUUAGAAAUAAAAGGGAAGGCACGUUCCUACAGUGACAGAGGUUUUGCAAGAAUGCUUGGACUUGGGCUGUAGCAGAGGAAGCCACCUUGUCAGCAGAACAUUCACUCUGGGACCCAGUACUUCUGGGAUGCUAGGACUGAGACCAGAACACGUGGAUGAAGGGGAGCCCGGUGACAGGAGUAAAUCCAGACUUUCACACCAGCUCUGCAGGACUCACAGAUACUCCAGGGUGACUUUUGCUCUGUAGGCCAUGGUGACGACUCAGGUUUUAGUCUGUGGGAGGGAGAAAGAGCUACAAAAGCAAUAGAUGCUCAAUAACGGGGAAAAAAAUAAAAUCCAACAUGACACAAAGGUAUCAUGUGAAAAAGUAAACAUCCCUCUCCUCCCUACCAUCCUCUACCUCAGCGGAAACCACUGUUACCCCUGUGUCUUCCAGGACUUUUCUAUUUACCCUGAAAUAUAUGUACGUGUUUUUCUUUUUCUUACAAAAAUUGGAUUACGUUAUGUUAUGUAGUAGGGGCACAGGGAUACAAGAGCACCUGGCUCCGGGGGGUCCCAAACAGACCAGGUCCGGCCACUCGCUGCUGACAAAAUUCAAAGGCAGAGAAACUAGCAGUGGUGAAACAAGAGGAAUUUAUUUCUGUGAGGCCAACGCCGGGAAGACAGUGGACUGCAACCCAAAGACCGUCUCCAACGUGCUGAAAAUACUUCCAGGUUUACAGAAGGAAAAUGUGGGGCAAAGGUGUGCGGGUACUGUAGGCAGGAAGUGAAGGUCAAAUCGAUCAUUGUCCUGGAGCAAUCACGGGUGGGGUCUUGUAGGCUCAGGGCAGCCCUUAUUGCUUCAGGCGAUAAUUUCAGUUCCCAUCUGGGGAUGCUUUGCCCUCAGGGUCUGCUACCUGAGCCGGAGACAAACUGGGAAGAACCCAGCUGGAAAGUCUCCGGUCAAAAUGGAGGCAGGCGAAGUCCUCUUUCAAAUAGAUCUCUAAUUUUCUUCUACUCAAUAAAUAUGGCAAAGACAUUCUUCUGUACCCAUAAGAAAGAGUACUUUUCCUCUUUCUAAAGCCUACAGAGUAUGCCAUAGCAUGUGUCAUUCAUUUAGCAACUUUUCAAAUUCUCUCCCAUUUUCUUGCUAACAUGAAUGAUCCUGCAAUGAACAUCCUUGUAAAUGUAGCUUUGGUUGAGUGUUUCCCCAGGGAAAGUGGAAUCACUGGAUCUCGAGUUCAUUUCUAUGAGGUGUUUCAUUGUACAGAAAAAUAUUUUAGGUCAAAUAAGACAAAAAAAAAAAAAGCAUGUGUGUAUACCAUUUCAUUUAAAGAAUCUUUUGACCCACAGCAUAAAAUAAUUUCUUAAAACUUGGCUGGUUACUAGAGUAGUAUGUCUCCUUUUUCUUCUUUUUUUAAUGGGUUCUGAUUGGCUGGAAAACCAGCCUCGCCUAGUUCCUUGCUUCCUGCCUGUUGCUGCAUCUGUAUGAUCAGUGUGGGGACUCUUGACUGCAAGCCCUUGGGCAGCCCUCUGGGCGCGGGGGCCCUGGUGGCUGCAACGCCUCCAGCCAGCACUCUGGGCUGAGAAUGAGCUAUAGUUCGGAUUGGCAUUUGUUUUCUCAAGGGCUUGAAACCGAGAGUGGGAUCGCAGCAAUUUUCACUCUCCCUAACAUUUCUUCUCGCAGAAUCCUAUUGUGCAAGCCAGAUAUUCAACUAAAAUCAGAUACUAAUGGCUGUGUUGGGUCCUUAAAAUCUCAAGCCGCUAUAAAUUAUUAAAUAGUUCUUGAACACUGAAGGAGAACUACCCAGCACAAAUUCUCUGCAGCUUUUUCAUUCAAAACUUAUUUUUUACCUCCACAUUGGGUCAUUUACUGGUUCCGGAUUCCACUAAAAGUAGUCCCCCUCCCCCCAACAUCCUUUCCCCUCCCCACCCUGCCCCCAGAAUACAAGGGGUUAAACUUAACUCCCCAGGCUUAAUUUCCCAAACAAAAGCCAGUUUUGCAAGUUAUUUUUCAAGGUGUGUCUUUCCAUAAGUUCUAUUUAAUAAAGUUAAUACAUGUUCCUGCUUCCUUUCUUUUUUUCCUUCUUUUUUGUUGUCAGUAUUCACGGAAUCUGGAUCUGUCAGCUACUUCUGUUUGAAGUUGAAGAAUUGGCAAAAUUAUACAUCCAGCAGGCAAGAAAUAAAGUGGAAAUGUCUCACAACUAACAGUGAAAUCUGUUGCGUUGUUUUAAGACUUAACUACUGAGGGGGAAAAAAAAAGCCCUACUAAAUAUUGUCUUGGCAACUAUAAAUAUAUUUUAGCGAUGAUAAAAACCUUUAGAAUAACAGUUCAAAGAUAUCUGAAACCUAAUGCCUGUCUGUCUGCCACUCUUAAUUAUAUAUAUUUACAUUGUAUAUAUAUCCCAUUCUUCAUUAAAUGCUGUGCAAUUUUCCAUUUGA
Felis catus (domestic cat) is the source of this 3853-nucleotide RNA transcript. It is a transcript of the gene named decaprenyl diphosphate synthase subunit 2, with no coding region annotated. The transcript has 9 exons. The record is from RefSeq and is a predicted model, not a curated record. Lineage: Eukaryota; Metazoa; Chordata; Mammalia; Carnivora; Felidae.